CCCUCUCAAAUAAUUUCACAUGAUCAUAUCAAAAUUAAAGGAAUCAAAAGCAUAGAUUCAAAAUUACAAAAAACACCAAGAGCAUUCAAUUUUAUCGACCAAUUUGUAUUAGGACAUCAAUUGGCCCGUCAAAUAUAACAAUCUCAUGAUUAUAAUCAUAAAGGCAUAAUUACAAUCAUAAACAUCCCAAAAUAAACCCCAAUUUAAUCCUCUAAGGAUCCUUACACAUGUUCAUUCUAACCCCAAUUGUUAUAAAUUCAUCCUUUACCUCUAAGAGGGCUCACUUGUAUAGUCCGACAGUGAUAGAGACAUCUCUAGUGAUUCCCUAAGAUUUCUUAUUUCUUCUGGUUGCUCUACUGGAGUUUCUAAGCGUUAGCGAGAAGGAGAAUGGAUUGAAGCUUCAAUUUCACUGUCUUUGUGUGAGAGAUAUUUCUCUCUCUGCCGAAAAUAUUUUCCAAAUCCCAACGGUGAGAAUUUCAAAGAACGAGCUCCAAAGG
This 497-nucleotide long non-coding RNA is filed under the name Glycine max (soybean). RNAcentral's name for it is "long non-coding RNA (GMAX_LNC002296)". Lineage: Eukaryota; Viridiplantae; Streptophyta; Magnoliopsida; Fabales; Fabaceae. The record is from RNAcentral.